UACAGAGGGUGCAAGCGUUAAUCGGAAUUACUGGGCGUAAAGCGUGCGUAGACGGUUGCGUAAGUCAGAUGUGAAAGCCCCGGGCUCAACCUGGGAAUUGGCAUUUGAGACUGCGUAGCUAGGGUGCGGAAGAGGGAAGCGAAUUUCCGGUGUAGCGGUGAAAUGCGUAGAUAUCGGAAGGAACACCAGUGGCGAAAGCGGCUUCCUGGUCCAGCACCGACGUUCAGGCACGAAAGCGUGGGGAGCAAACAGG
Molecule: ribosomal RNA, 253 nt
Filed under: uncultured bacterium
Lineage: Bacteria
Description: partial 16S ribosomal RNA
Rfam family: Bacterial small subunit ribosomal RNA
Source: RNAcentral